This 469-nucleotide ribosomal RNA is filed under the name uncultured bacterium. RNAcentral describes it as "partial 16S ribosomal RNA". It matches the Rfam family "Bacterial small subunit ribosomal RNA", at positions 28 to 507 of the family's 1533-position model. The record is from RNAcentral.
AACGAACGUUGGCGGCGUGGAUUAGGCAUGCAAGUCGAACGCGAAUCCCUGGGCAACUGGGGAGGAGAGUGGCGAAAGGGGCAGUAAGGCGUGGGUAACCUACCCUCCGGGCCGGGAUAGCUUCGGGAAACUGAAGGUAAUACCGGGCGACGCAGCGAGAUCGCAUGGUCUUGCUGCCAAAGGUCCGCCGCCGGGGGAGGGGCUCACGUGGUAUUAGCUAGACGGCGGGGUAACGGCCCACCGUGGCAAAGAUGCCUAGCAGGUGUGAGAGCACGACCUGCGCCACUGGCACUGAGACACUGGCCAGACACCGACGGGUGGCUGCAGGCGAGGAUCUUCGGCAAUGGGCGCAAGCCUGACCGAGCGACGCCGCGUGUGCGAUGAAGGCCUUCGGGUUGUAAAGCACUGUCGAGGGGGAGGAAGCCGCAAGGUUGACCUAUCCCUGGAGGAAGCACGGGCUAAGUUCGUG